AUACGGAGGGUGCAAGCGUUAAUCGGAAUUACUGGGCGUAAAGCGUGCGUAGGCGGUUUGUUAAGUCAGAAGUGAAAGCCCUGGGCUCAACCUGGGAACGGCUUUUGAGACUGGCAGACUCGAGUUGAGUAGAGGGGAGUGGAAUUUCCGGUGUAGCGGUGAAAUGCGUAGAGAUCGGAAGGAACACCAGUGGCGAAGGCGACUCCCUGGACUCAAACUGACGCUGAGGUACGAAAGCGUGGGUAGCAAACAGGAUUAGAUACCCUAGUAGUCC
Molecule: ribosomal RNA, 274 nt
Filed under: uncultured bacterium
Lineage: Bacteria
Description: partial 16S ribosomal RNA
Rfam family: Bacterial small subunit ribosomal RNA
Source: RNAcentral